CGAGUGCGUUCAGAGUUUGAUCCUGGCUCAGGAUGAACGCUGACAGAAUGCUUAACACAUGCAAGUCUACUUGAUCCUUCGGGUGAUGGUGGCGGACGGGUGAGUAACGCGUAAAGAACUUGCCUCUUAGACCGGGACAACAUCUGGAAACGGAUGCUAAUACCGGAUAUUAUGGUUUUUUCGCAUGGAGGAAUCAUGAAAGCUAGAUGCGCUAAGAGAGAGCUUUGCGUCCCAUUAGCUAGUUGGUGAGGUAACGGCCCACCAAGGCAAUGAUGGGUAGCCGGCCUGAGAGGGUGAACGGCCACAAGGGGACUGAGACACGGCCCUU
Molecule: ribosomal RNA, 328 nt
Filed under: uncultured bacterium
Lineage: Bacteria
Description: bacterial SSU rRNA
Rfam family: Bacterial small subunit ribosomal RNA
Source: RNAcentral